RNAcentral lists this non-coding RNA (158 nucleotides) under uncultured Stichotrichia. The record is from RNAcentral. Lineage: Eukaryota; Ciliophora; Spirotrichea.
AUAAGAAAAGAAUAGGAAUUGUUGUCCGGAGGUGCUAAUUGUGGAUGAUCACGAAUUCAACAUUUUUUUCUCUCUCUCAGAUCUUUCUAAUUCGGUACCAUAUUCCAUCUGAUUCUGCUCAAAAUGGGGCAGAGGCAGUGGAAAAAGUUAAGAAAAGG